RNAcentral lists this ribosomal RNA (269 nucleotides) under uncultured anaerobic ammonium-oxidizing bacterium. RNAcentral describes it as "partial 16S ribosomal RNA". It matches the Rfam family "Bacterial small subunit ribosomal RNA", at positions 565 to 832 of the family's 1533-position model. The record is from RNAcentral.
GAGCACGUAGGUGGGUUUGUAAGUCAGAUGUGAAAGCCUUCUGUUCAACGGAAGAAUUGCAUCUGAAACUACAAAUCUUGAGUAUAGGAGGGGAGAAUGGAACUUCUGGUGGAGCGGUGAAAUGCGUAGAUAUCAGAAGGAACGCCGGCGGCGAAAGCGAUUCUCUGGCCUAUUACUGACACUCAGUGUGCGAAAGCUAGGGGAGCAAACGGGAUUAGAUACCCCGGUAGUCCUAGCCGUAAACGAUGGGCACUAAGUAGAGGGGUUUU